UCCGAGAAGAGUCCAGGGAGCCCCAGAGAG
Molecule: non-coding RNA, 30 nt
Filed under: Mus musculus (house mouse)
Lineage: Eukaryota; Metazoa; Chordata; Mammalia; Rodentia; Muridae
Source: RNAcentral